GGGGCUGUGGCUCAGCGGUAGAGCAUUUGCUUAGCAUGUACAAGGCCCUGGGUUCGAUCCUCAGCACUACA
This 71-nucleotide transfer RNA is filed under the name Marmota monax (woodchuck). RNAcentral describes it as "tRNA.Ala". The stretch from base 6 to 66 matches the Rfam family "tRNA", at positions 6 to 65 of the family's 71-position model. Rfam says of the family: Transfer RNA (tRNA) molecules are approximately 80 nucleotides in length. Their secondary structure includes four short double-helical elements and three loops (D, anti-codon, and T loops). The record is from RNAcentral. Lineage: Eukaryota; Metazoa; Chordata; Mammalia; Rodentia; Sciuridae.